This 418-nucleotide ribosomal RNA is filed under the name Myelochroa irrugans. RNAcentral describes it as "eukaryotic LSU rRNA". It matches the Rfam family "Eukaryotic large subunit ribosomal RNA", at positions 1 to 413 of the family's 3401-position model. Lineage: Eukaryota; Fungi; Ascomycota; Lecanoromycetes; Lecanorales; Parmeliaceae. The record is from RNAcentral.
AUUGACCUCGGAUCAGGUAGGGAUACCCGCUGAACUUAAGCAUAUCAAUAAGCGGAGGAAAAGAAACCAACAGGGAUUGCCUCAGUAACGGCGAGUGAAGCGGCAACAGCUCAAAUUUGAAAUCUGGCCCCUUUCGGGGUCCGAGUUGUAAUUUGUAGAGAGUGCUUCGGGCGAGACAACGGUCUAAGUUCAUUGGAACAUGGCGUCAUAGAGGGUGAGAAUCCCGUAUGCGACCGUGGCUCGAGCCCAUGUGAAGCCUCUUCGACGAGUCGAGUUGUUUGGGAAUGCAGCUCAAAAUGGGUGGUAAAUUUCAUCUAAAGCUAAAUACUGGCUGGAGACCGAUAGCGCACAAGUAGAGUGAUCGAAAGAUGAAAAGCACUUUGGAAAGAGAGUCAAACAGUACGUGAAAUUGUUGAAA